RNAcentral lists this long non-coding RNA (262 nucleotides) under Mytilus galloprovincialis (Mediterranean mussel). The record is from RNAcentral. Lineage: Eukaryota; Metazoa; Mollusca; Bivalvia; Mytilida; Mytilidae.
CGGGUUCGCAAACAAGAAUCUCGAAUGGUCAACAAUAAUCCAUCGCUCAAAGUAAACAAUUAUCUAUUUUAACAUAACAACUAAUUUCAACAGUAAAAACAAAUAACAAAACAUUGUCCAAUUUGCUUCAGAAGUGUACGAUUGGCCUACGGUUCAGAAUUUUGAACUGAACUUGACAUUCACUAAACAUGCAUGCUGAAAUUGACAUGGUUGAUUUUGUUACACGUGUACAUUUUUAUGUUUAAAAUUGGUGAUUGUCGUC